AUUGAACGCUGGCGGCAUGCCUUACACAUGCAAGUCGAACGGCAGCACGGGUGCUUGCACCUGGUGGCGAGUGGCGAACGGGUGAGUAAUACAUCGGAACGUACCUUAUCGUGGGGGAUAACGCAGCGAAAGUUGCGCUAAUACCGCAUACGCCCUGAGGGGGAAAGCGGGGGACCGUAAGGCCUAGCGCGAUUAGAGCGGCCGAUGUCUGAUUAGCUUGUUGGUGAGGUAAAAGCUCACCAAGGCGAUGAUCAGUAGCUGGUCUGAGAGGACAUUCAGCCUCACUUGGACUGGGACACGGCCCAGACUCCUACGGGAGGCAGCAGGGGGGAAUUUUGGACAAUGGGGGCAACCCUGAUCCAGCAAUGCCGCGUGAGUGAAGAAGGCCUUCGGGUCGUAAAGCUCUUUUGUCAGGGAAGAAACAGCAGCUCUAACACAGUCUGCGAAUGACGGUACCUGAAGAAUAAGCACCGGCUAACUACGUGCCAGCAGCCGCCGUAA
This 501-nucleotide ribosomal RNA is filed under the name uncultured bacterium. RNAcentral's name for it is "partial 16S ribosomal RNA". It matches the Rfam family "Bacterial small subunit ribosomal RNA", at positions 30 to 523 of the family's 1533-position model. The record is from RNAcentral.